UGGUGGGUAGUUUGACUGGGGCGGUCUCCUCCCAAAGAGUAACGGAGGAGCACGAAGGUUGGCUAAUCCUGGUCGGACAUCAGGAGGUUAGUGCAAUGGCAUAAGCCAGCUUGACUGCGAGCGUGACGGCGCGAGCAGGUGCGAAAGCAGGUCAUAGUGAUCCGGUGGUUCUGAAUGGAAGGGCCAUCGCUCAACGGAUAAAAGGUACUCCGGGGAUAACAGGCUGAUACCGCCCAAGAGUUCAUAUCGACGGCGGUGUUUGGCACCUCGAUGUCGGCUCAUCACAUCCUGGGGCUGAAGUAGGUCCCAAGGGUAUGGCUGUUCGCCAUUUAAAGUGGUACGCGAGCUGGGUUUAGAACGUCGUGAGACAGUUCGGUCCCUAUCUGCCGUGGGCGCUGGAGAAUUGAGGGGGGCUGCUCCUAGUACGAGAGGACCGGAGUGGACGCAUCACUGGUGUUCGGGUUGUCAUGCCAAUGGCACUGCCCGGUAGCUAAAUGCGGAAGAGAUAAGUGCUGAAAGCAUCUAAGCACGAAACUUGCCCCGAGAUGAGUUCUCCCUGAGACUUUAAGUCUCCUGAAGGAACGUUGAAGACGACGACGUUGAUAGGUCGGGUGUGUAAGCGCAGCGAUGCGUUGAGCUAACCGAUACUAAUGAACCGUGAGGCUUAACCUU
This 672-nucleotide ribosomal RNA is filed under the name Enterobacter hormaechei. RNAcentral describes it as "partial 23S ribosomal RNA". It matches the Rfam family "Bacterial large subunit ribosomal RNA", at positions 2259 to 2925 of the family's 2925-position model. RNAcentral also lists the same sequence under 2 other names. Lineage: Bacteria; Pseudomonadati; Pseudomonadota; Gammaproteobacteria; Enterobacterales; Enterobacteriaceae. The record is from RNAcentral.